CACCCCUCUGCCCAUCACUGUCUGUCACACUGGCGUGCUCUCUCUCUCACAGCCCUUGUCGUCACCUGAAAUCAUCUGGGUUAUUUGCCCACUUGUGGACUGUCUUUUCUCCUCACUGGAAUGUAAGUUCUGGGACUGUUUUUGUCCCUGCCACGUCCUCAAUACUAACAACAGUGUGCCUAGCACAUGGCAGGUGCUCAAUGAGUACUUGUUCACAGAACCAGCCACAUGGACUAAGGGCCUAAGUUACAACUCAAGUUUAUUCUAGGUUGCUGCCCCCAGACUCUCUUUUGUAGGACAGCUUUUCCCUGUCCUACGACUUCUUUAAGACAGUAAUUUCUUUAAGUGCUCAGAGGUCACUCAUUUAUCUACCAGCUCUACCACCUACAGGCUGUGUGACCUUGGGCAAGUUACUUAAUGUCUCUGUGUCUCAGUUUUGUCAGCUGUAAAAUGGGGGUAAUAACAGUGCCCACUUCAUAGAGUAAAUGUGAGAAUUGAAUGAAUGCAUAAAGAGUGCUUAAAACAGCACAGGGACACAGUGUUCAAUAACGUUAGCUCUAUUAUUUUUAUCAUUGUUAUCAUCACCACUGUCAUCAUCACUGGUGUUUUUAAUUGAGAUAUACUUGACAUAUAACAUAUUAGUUGCAGCUGUACAGCAUAAUGAUUCAAUAUACGUAUAUAUUUCAACAUGAUCAGCAAAAUCUAGUUAACAUCCAUCACCAGUCUGACUCCUGGAAGAGGCAACUGGUGUCUCUGCCUUCACGUAAUAAUACUUUGUGCCACUCUGCCUGCACAGUACCCUCCAGUGGUUUUCGAUUUCACUUCAGAAAAAGACCAAACCCCUUUAAGUAGCCUGUGAGCCCCACAAGCACCUCUCCAGCCUCAUCCUGCAUGGCUUUCCCCGUUGUUUGACCCCCUGCAGUCACACCAGCCUCAUUUCAGCGUUCAUGUGACUUCUGCUUGUCCCACAUCAGGCACUUUGCCUGGAACUUACUCUCCCUCCACCUUUACCUGGUCAGUGCCUGCUCUUCGUCCCCAUCUCAGCUAGGUCAUUACCGUCUUAGCCUCCCACGACCACUGACGAGGGAAAUUCCCUAUUUCACACUCGGGGCAACACGUCCCUCUGUGGUAGCACGUCUCACAGUUGUGCGUUUGCUCUCUGCCUUCACUUGGAUUAACAUCUGCCUUCCCUGUUAGAUGCUAAACUCCAUGAGAACAGAGACCAACUCGUUCUUUGCUCACCUUUGUACUCCCAAUGCGAGCAGUGUUUGCACAGAAGAGGGACAGCACCUGUGUUUGACCCUUAUUUCUAUCCUCCUGCACUAUUCUGCACAUAGGAGAAAAG
This 1345-nucleotide long non-coding RNA is filed under the name Equus asinus (donkey). RNAcentral describes it as "lncRNA (ENSEASG00005023648.1)". Lineage: Eukaryota; Metazoa; Chordata; Mammalia; Perissodactyla; Equidae. The record is from RNAcentral.